GACCAACGAGGCAGAGAAUUCUGGACU
This 27-nucleotide non-coding RNA is filed under the name Mus musculus (house mouse). The record is from RNAcentral. Lineage: Eukaryota; Metazoa; Chordata; Mammalia; Rodentia; Muridae.